RNAcentral lists this ribosomal RNA (238 nucleotides) under uncultured bacterium. RNAcentral's name for it is "partial 16S ribosomal RNA". It matches the Rfam family "Bacterial small subunit ribosomal RNA", at positions 96 to 334 of the family's 1533-position model. The record is from RNAcentral.
CGGCGGACGGGUGAGUAACGCGUGGGUAACCUGCCUCAUACAGGGGGAUAACGGUUAGAAAUGACUGCUAAUACCGCAUAAGACCACAGCACCGCAUGGUGCGGGGGUAAAAACUCCGGUGGUAUGAGAUGGACCCGCGUCUGAUUAGCUGGUUGGUAAGGUAACGGCUUACCAAGGCGACGAUCAGUAGCCGACCUGAGAGGGUGACCGGCCACAUUGGGACUGAGACACGGCCCAA